CUUGAACAGGUGCUGCAUGGCUGUCGUCAGCUCGUGUCGUGAGAUGUUCGGUUAAGUCCGCUAACGAGCGCAACCCUCGCUGUGUGUUACAAGUGUCACACGGAACUGCCGGGUCAUAAACCGGAGGAAGGUGGGGAUGACGUCAAGUCAGCAUGGCCUUUAUAUCCUGGGCUACACACACGCUACAAUGGGAAGGGACAAUAGGUUGCGAAGCCGCGAGGCGGAGCCAAUCCAGCAAAACUUCCCUCAGUUCAGAUUGCAGGCUGCAACUCGCCUGCAUGAAGUUGGAGUUGCUAGUAAACGCAGGUCAGCCAUACUGCGUUGAAUACGUUCCCGGGGCUU
This 342-nucleotide ribosomal RNA is filed under the name uncultured Anaerolineaceae bacterium. RNAcentral describes it as "bacterial SSU rRNA". It matches the Rfam family "Bacterial small subunit ribosomal RNA", at positions 1029 to 1382 of the family's 1533-position model. Lineage: Bacteria; Bacillati; Chloroflexota; Anaerolineae; Anaerolineales; Anaerolineaceae. The record is from RNAcentral.